Zalophus californianus (California sea lion) is the source of this 577-nucleotide long non-coding RNA. RefSeq lists it as uncharacterized. NCBI's taxonomy places the organism in Eukaryota, Metazoa, Chordata, Mammalia, Carnivora, Otariidae. The transcript has 3 exons. The record is from RefSeq and is a predicted model, not a curated record.
CCCCCCUGAGCUUGUCUCCUUCGCCACCCUUGCUGGGUGGGCGGUUGGGCGCAGGCUGCCAUGUCCCUGAUUCUUCCCCGGGCUGCACUCUCCAGAGAUACCAGGAGGAUGCCCUGCUGGGUUAACAGGUUGUGGCUUUCACUUCCUCCUCACUGGCAGGCACCUCAAGCAAUCAUUUCUCCUAAUAACUCUGUACACCUCCCCCUUAAGGAAAUCACUCACACCGAGGCUUAAGCAACUGACAAGCGUUCAUCCUUUAAUUUAAGGCCCGAGUGCCUCUAUUCAAUUGCAAGAGAUUGAAAUUGAACAUGUCCUGCUUAUAGAAAAGUUUUGUUUUGUUUUGUUUUGUUUUUAAUAAGUCAGUCAAGUUGUCAAUGUUUUCUAAUGACUUGCUUCUUUUUUUUUUUUUUCACAACGGAGUGCUGAAAAUUCCAGUUAACUUUAAGGUUCUAGGCAAUUGAAUAAAUCCAGUGUGUCAACAUUCUUUGCUUUCCUUGGGCGCAUUCUGCAAAACACAGUCUUACAUAACUGCUCUACAUUGUGAGGACUCAAACUUGUGUCUGGAACUUUAAUUAUA